Molecule: long non-coding RNA, 4698 nt
Filed under: Sus scrofa (pig)
Lineage: Eukaryota; Metazoa; Chordata; Mammalia; Artiodactyla; Suidae
Description: lncRNA (ENSSSCG00000046783.2)
Source: RNAcentral
GGACUUAGGCCUCUCUGUCCUCCAAUUAUCUCAUUUGCAUAAAACUUUUAAAGCACAUAUGAACCUCUUGAAAAGAGCAUCAUUUAUAACUGAUGACAUUUUGUGUUUGUAGUCAUUUCCAUAAAAUGCUCAAGAUUAGUGUUUUUUUUUUUUUUUCAGUGAUGUGAUGUCUCUAUGGGGAAUUGAACUUAGAGCUGCAGCCUUUCUCUGGAACAUGCAUUUUACCUUCCGUGCGUAGAUUCUGUGCACUGGAUUAGAAGUCCUUAACAGUAUUUCUCCAGAAAUGACCCCAGUCUUGCAGAAGCUGACCUUGAGAAUCUGUAGAGGUGACUUGGACUUGAGUUAUCAAGGUGGUAGAGUGUGGCGGUGAAGCAUGUGGGUCAACUCCUAACUCUACUACUAACUAGGAUGGCUAACCUGGCAAGGUCCGUACUGUUUUGUACCUCCAUGUUCUCAUCUUCUUAUUGGGGAUGAUGAUGGUAAAACAUGCUUUACAGGUUUAUUGGGAAGAUUAAACAAGUUAAUAGCAGAGUGUGAAGAACACUGCCUGACAUGUGGUGUACACCAACCUGGGCUAGUUAGUGAUGCCAUCGAAGUGGCUGUGACAGUUCCAAACAGCAAUAGAACCACGUACUGGAGUUCCAGUGUCACACACUUGCCUUUUAAAAGCUGCCUAAUGUUUUCCCCGGUCAUCUUCAGAGACACUCAGAGUCAGGUCCAUGUAUACACAUUCCUUCCUUUGUGCUAUAUCAGAAAGAAAGGAGUUGGGUAUGGUUCCAAAUGAGGGGGAGGAAGCAAAGGAGAUAAAGUUUUCUGUGUAGACAAGUCAGCUCUUCUAAAUGGUCUGUCUGAUCCUAAGAAGAGCAGCUGUUCCAUCUCCACAGGACCAGCCCUUGAUCCCUCCCACCAAAGUUGAUGCGGGGGAAUCCUGGUCAUGCUUUUUGACUUUGCUUGUAGGUUCUGCUCAGCCUCACUCUCACCUGCCCCGAUGUCUCUUCACACUCCUCCUGACGGUUUCUGGAUGGCCUUUCCAAUGCUUUUUUGGGUGAAUGGUUUAAUCUAAGUAUAACAUACGUGGAGAACAAUGCAUGCAUCAUGCUGAAUUAUUACAGUCAGCACAUGAAACCCAGAUAAAGACUUUGAGCAAUACCAGCACCCAAUAUACUUCCUUUGUGUCUCCUCCGAAGCAUCACCUCCUCCAAAGGUAGCCACCAGUCUCCUUUCCCUCACACAGACUAUUUUUUUGCCAAUUUUAUUACACUUUGGAUAAAUGGAACCACACAGUAUUUAGUCUUUUUGUUUGUUUGGGCAGUGCCUGUGGCAUGUAGAAGUUCCUGGACCAGGGAUUGAACUUGUGAUAAUGCCAGAUCCUUGAUCUGCUGAGCCACCAGGGAACUCUCAGUUUGUAGUCUUUUGGGCUUAGCUUCUUUUUUUUUUCCCCUCUCUUGUUAGGGCUGCACCCACAGCAUAUGAAAGUUCCUGGGCUAGUGGUUGAAUUGAAGCUGCAGCUGCCAGCCUGUGCUGCAGCCACAGCAAUGACAGAUCUGAGCCAUAUCUGUGACCUCCACCACAGCCUACAGCAAUGCUGGAUCCUUAACCCACUGAACGAAGCCAGGGAUCGAACCUGCAUCCUCAUGGAUACUAUGUCAGUUUCUUAACCUUCUGAGCCACAGUGGGAACCCCUGAGCUAGGCUCCUUUUGCUUAGUAUUCCUUCUAUGAGAUUCCUCUGUGUUGUGGUUUUUUCUUUUCCAUCACUGUAGAGCUCUAUUGUAAAAAUAUAUUCAUGAAUUUUAUUUAUUCAUCCAUUCUCCCUUUAUAGAUAUCUGAGUUGUUUUCAGUUUUGGACUAUUAUGAAUAAUGGUGCCAUGAACAUGUCUUUUGGCAAAUUAUGUUGUCAUACCUAUGCAGCUAGGUACAGAAUUGAUGGGUCAAAUAUAUACUGAUGCUCAACCUCAGUGAAUAUUGCCUAACAGUUGCCUAAAUGGUUGAACACUGCCAUUUUUUAACAGAGUUUUUUGAAUGUUAAUCUGAAUGAGUUCUUCAUAUAUUUUGAAUAUUAAUCCCUUAUCAACUAUAUCAUUUGCAGAUAUCUUCUCCCAUUUAGUAGGCAGCCUUGUCAUUUUGACGGUAGUCUCUGUCACUGUGCAAAAGAUUUUUAGUUUGAUGUAGUCCCAUUCGUUUAUUUUUGCUUUUGUUGCCUUGCCUGAGGAGACAUAUCCAAAAAAUUAUCGCUAAGAGUGAGGUCUAAGACUGUUCUGCCUAUGUUUUCUUCUAAAAAUUUUAUGGUUUCAGGUCUUACAUUUAAGUCUUUAAUCCAUUUGGAGGUUAUUUUUGUAUAUAGUGUGAGAAAGGGGUCCAAUUUUACCCUUUUACAUGUAGCUGUCCAAUUUUCCCAACACCGUUUAAUUGAAGAGGCCAUCUUCCCCAUUGUCCACACCAAGACACACUGUAAUUAAAAUGGUGAUCAUUAAAGAUAAAGAGAAACAAGGGAAAAAAUGCUUACGUGGAGACUAAACAACAUGCUACUAAAAAAAGGGGGGGGGCAAUGAUGAAUUCAAAGAGGAAAUAAAGAAUCAUUAAAGCAGCAAGGGAAAAGCAACUUAUUAUGUACAAGGAAACUCCCAUCAGACUGUUGGCUGACUGUUCAGUAGAAAUUUUGCAGACCAUAAGGGAAUGGCAGAAUAUGGGUGGGUAAACCCAUGGUCUUAAUAGGCUAGAGGAAGAACCCAAAGUGGCACUUGCCAGCACCAGUGUCCUUGUAGAAUGAGCUCCCCAAAAUGGCUGCUGUAAGCAUCUAGGUCCCCGUGAGGAGUCCCCCUUGCCUCCCACCUUUCUAAGAGGUUCUCCAAGAUUAGCAAGUGGGUUUAACCCAGGUUUCUUUCAAAAUACUGCUUCUGUGCUGGGUCUUGGAGUAUAUGAAAUUUUGUAUGAGCUCUUUAAGAGCAGAGGCUCUGUUUCCUACAGCCCUCAGGCUCUCCCAUGUGGAAGCCCCACUGACCUUCAAAGUCAGACGAUCUGAAGGCUCACCUUCCUGGUGCAGACCUAGGGUCUGGAAAGCCUGAUGUGGGGCUCAGACCCCUUGCUCUUUGGGAAAAAACUCUGAAAUUAUGAUUAUCCUCUCAUUUGCAGGUCACCUAUCCAAGGGUAUACCACUAAGGGUGUUAUACUGCAUCUCCACCCCUCCUACUUAUCUCGCUGUGGUUCCUUCUUUAUAUCUUUAGUUAUGGAAAAUAUUUUCUUCUAGUCUUCAGGAUUUUCUCAUCAAUAGUUGUUCUGUAAAUUGUUGUAAUUUUGGAGUGCCCAUGCGAGGAGGUGAGCUCAGUUUCUUCUUACUCCACCAUCUUGGCUAUUCCCCUGAAAUGGAACUGAUUUUUGAACAUUGUGUAUCAUGUACCUUGCUGACUUGUUUAUUUGUUGCAAUAGAUUUUUUAGUUGUUGUAUAUAUAAUAUAUAUAUAUAUUAGGAAUCCUAAACAAUCUAUAUAUGAAUAUAUAUAUGAAUAAUUAUGUCACUUGCAAAUUGAAAUAAUUUUACUUCUUUCCGAUUAGAUAUCUUCUAUUUCUUUUCUUCAUGCUGCAAGCCUUUUAUUAACUUCCAGAAAUCUGAAAAAGUUGAUUUGGAGAAAUUUUGCCAGUUUUUUUUAUUGCUUCUUUGGAGGGGCAAAUUUUUGGAAGUAUUUACUCCAGUACUUUUGCUGAUAUCACUUUAGUCUUUUAAUUGGAACUUUUGUUUUAUUUCCAUUUUAUGUAAUUAUGUCACAUGUUAUAAUUUGUUUUUAAUUUGUAAUCUGUUUUAUGUUUCUUUUUCUCUCCUUUCUUGCUUGCUUUUGUAUUAAUAAAAUAAUUUUAUUGUCCAAUUCCCCUUUUCUAUUAGAUCAUUAGUUUUAUAUCCUUGGCCUUUUACACUUAAAUAUAAAAAUUUUAUCAUUUCUCAGAAAAAAUUAUUACCUUGAGACAGUUUAUUUUGUUUACUCCUUUAUCCCACUUGUUCCAUUAGGAUAAUCAUGAAUUUUAAUUCUACAUAUAUUUUAAUUUCCAUAUGAUGUCAUUAUUUUUUAUAAAAUUAAUAUUUUUUUUACACUUACCCACAUAUAUAACUUUUUCCUUACUCUUUGUUUUUGUGGUUUUCUUUUUUCUUAUUUUUUUGGGGGGGGAUCAUUUUCCUUUUGCUAAAAAAUUUCUUUCGGUAUAGGUUUUCUUUUGAUGAAUGUUUUCAGGUUAUUGUUGGAAGGACUUGAAGUCUGAAACUGUAUUUAUUAUGCCUUAAGUUUUGAAAGAAACUUAAGGAAAUAGAAUUUUCAUUUGUAAGUUAUUUUCUUUCAGCACUUAAAACAUUAUUCCAUUGUUUUUCAUUUCCAUUGUUUCUCUUAGAUAGUUAACUGUAAGUCUCAUUGAGCUCCUCUGAAGGUCAUGUAUUUAUCACUCUAACUGCCUUCAGGAUUUAAAAACAUUUUUUUUUUAGGGAGGAGUUCCCAUCUUGGCUCAGUGACUAAUGAAUCUGACUAGGAACCAUGAGGUUGUGGGUUUUAUUCCUGGCCAUGCUCAGUCGGUGAAGGAUCCAGAGUUGCCAUGAGCUGUGGUGUACGUUGCACAGAUGCGGCUUGGAUCCCAUGUUGCUGUGGUGUUGGCAUAGGCUGGCGGCUACAACUCUGAUGGAACCCCUAGCCUGGGAACCUCCAUAUGCUGUGGGUGCAGCCC